Molecule: ribosomal RNA, 2775 nt
Rfam family: Bacterial large subunit ribosomal RNA
AGCGCAUACGGUGGAUGCCUUGGCAGUCAGAGGCGAUGAAAGACGUGGUAGCCUGCGAAAAGCUUCGGGGAGUCGGCAAACAGACUUUGAUCCGGAGAUGUCUGAAUGGGGGAACCCAGCCAUCAUAAGAUGGUUAUCUUACGCUGAAUACAUAGGCGUAAGAGGCGAACCAGGGGAACUGAAACAUCUAAGUACCCUGAGGAAAAGAAAUCAACCGAGAUUCCCUUAGUAGUGGCGAGCGAACGGGGACUAGCCCUUAAGUGGCUUUGAGAUUAGCGGAACGCUCUGGAAAGUGCGGCCAUAGUGGGUGAUAGCCCUGUACGCGAAAAUCUCUUAGUCAUGAAAUCGAGUAGGACGGAGCACGAGAAACUUUGUCUGAAUAUGGGGGGACCAUCCUCCAAGGCUAAAUACUACUGACUGACCGAUAGUGAACUAGUACCGUGAGGGAAAGGCGAAAAGAACCCCGGAGAGGGGAGUGAAAUAGAUCCUGAAACCGUAUGCGUACAAGCAGUGGGAGCCCACUUUGUUGGGUGACUGCGUACCUUUUGUAUAAUGGGUCAGCGACUUAUUUUCAGUGGCGAGCUUAACCGAAUAGGGGAGGCGUAGCGAAAGCGAGUCUUAAUAGGGCGUCUAGUCGCUGGGAAUAGACCCGAAACCGGGCGAUCUAUCCAUGGGCAGGUUGAAGGUUGGGUAACACUAACUGGAGGACCGAACCGACUACCGUUGAAAAGUUAGCGGAUGACCUGUGGAUCGGAGUGAAAGGCUAAUCAAGCUCGGAGAUAGCUGGUUCUCCUCGAAAGCUAUUUAGGUAGCGCCUCAUGUAUCACUGUAGGGGGUAGAGCACUGUUUCGGCUAGGGGGUCAUCCCGACUUACCAAACCGAUGCAAACUCCGAAUACCUACAAGUGCCGAGCAUGGGAGACACACGGCGGGUGCUAACGUCCGUCGUGAAAAGGGAAACAACCCAGACCGUCAGCUAAGGUCCCAAAGUUAUGGUUAAGUGGGAAACGAUGUGGGAAGGCUUAGACAGCUAGGAGGUUGGCUUAGAAGCAGCCACCCUUUAAAGAAAGCGUAAUAGCUCACUAGUCGAGUCGGCCUGCGCGGAAGAUGUAACGGGGCUCAAACCAUACACCGAAGCUACGGGUAUCACGUAAGUGAUGCGGUAGAGGAGCGUUCUGUAAGCCUGUGAAGGUGAGUUGAGAAGCUUGCUGGAGGUAUCAGAAGUGCGAAUGCUGACAUGAGUAACGACAAUGGGUGUGAAAAACACCCACGCCGAAAGACCAAGGUUUCCUGCGCAACGUUAAUCGACGCAGGGUUAGUCGGUCCCUAAGGCGAGGCUGAAAAGCGUAGUCGAUGGAAAACAGGUUAAUAUUCCUGUACUUCUGGUUAUUGCGAUGGAGGGACGGAGAAGGCUAGGCCAGCUUGGCGUUGGUUGUCCAAGUUUAAGGUGGUAGGCUGAGAUCUUAGGUAAAUCCGGGAUCUUAAGGCCGAGAGCUGAUGACGAGUCGUCUUUUAGACGACGAAGUGGUUGAUGCCAUGCUUCCAAGAAAAGCUUCUAAGCUUCAGGUAACCAGGAACCGUACCCCAAACCGACACAGGUGGUUGGGUAGAGAAUACCAAGGCGCUUGAGAGAACUCGGGUGAAGGAACUAGGCAAAAUGGCACCGUAACUUCGGGAGAAGGUGCGCCGGUGAGGGUGAAGGACUUGCUCCGUAAGCUCAUGCCGGUCGAAGAUACCAGGCCGCUGCGACUGUUUAUUAAAAACACAGCACUCUGCAAACACGAAAGUGGACGUAUAGGGUGUGACGCCUGCCCGGUGCCGGAAGGUUAAUUGAUGGGGUUAGCUAACGCGAAGCUCUUGAUCGAAGCCCCGGUAAACGGCGGCCGUAACUAUAACGGUCCUAAGGUAGCGAAAUUCCUUGUCGGGUAAGUUCCGACCUGCACGAAUGGCGUAACGAUGGCGGCGCUGUCUCCACCCGAGACUCAGUGAAAUUGAAAUCGCUGUGAAGAUGCAGUGUAUCCGCGGCUAGACGGAAAGACCCCGUGAACCUUUACUAUAGCUUUGCACUGGACUUUGAAUUUGCUUGUGUAGGAUAGGUGGGAGGCUUUGAAGCGUGGACGCCAGUCUGCGUGGAGCCAACCUUGAAAUACCACCCUGGCAACUUUGAGGUUCUAACUCAGGUCCGUUAUCCGGAUCGAGGACAGUGUAUGGUGGGUAGUUUGACUGGGGCGGUCUCCUCCUAAAGAGUAACGGAGGAGUACGAAGGUGCGCUCAGACCGGUCGGAAAUCGGUCGUAGAGUAUAAAGGCAAAAGCGCGCUUGACUGCGAGACAGACACGUCGAGCAGGUACGAAAGUAGGUCUUAGUGAUCCGGUGGUUCUGUAUGGAAGGGCCAUCGCUCAACGGAUAAAAGGUACUCCGGGGAUAACAGGCUGAUACCGCCCAAGAGUUCAUAUCGACGGCGGUGUUUGGCACCUCGAUGUCGGCUCAUCACAUCCUGGGGCUGAAGCCGGUCCCAAGGGUAUGGCUGUUCGCCAUUUAAAGUGGUACGCGAGCUGGGUUUAGAACGUCGUGAGACAGUUCGGUCCCUAUCUGCCGUGGACGUUUGAGAUUUGAGAGGGGCUGCUCCUAGUACGAGAGGACCGGAGUGGACGAACCUCUGGUGUUCCGGUUGUCACGCCAGUGGCAUUGCCGGGUAGCUAUGUUCGGAAUAGAUAACCGCUGAAAGCAUCUAAGCGGGAAACUAGCCUCAAGAUGAGAUCUCACUGGAACCUUGA